Molecule: unclassified non-coding RNA, 2532 nt
Filed under: Orbicella faveolata
Lineage: Eukaryota; Metazoa; Cnidaria; Anthozoa; Scleractinia; Merulinidae
Description: uncharacterized LOC110040169, transcript variant X1
Source: RNAcentral
ACGCUACGUCAUAACAAGAUCAUUUUUACUAAACACGCAACAGUUUCCGAGAUCUUUACUUCAAACUUUAAACAUGUCUUCGAUUGCGAGAGCUGUUUUUAAAGUCACUAUUGGCUGGCUGGUGGAUAAAGGCAGAGAUAAGGCAGCGGAGAAGCUGAGAGAUGGCGAUGUAACGGAUCAAAAAUUUCGUGCAUUGAUCGUCCGUGAAAUCGACGAUAUCAAGUCCAAGUUGGAUGGAUUAUCAAGGAAAGAUUUGGGAGCAAGUAUCAGCUUCUUUGAGGAAGGAAUCGAGUUGUUGUAUGAUUUUUUUUUCAAAGCAAGGUCCAGAAGCGAGCACAGCGCGGCAACAACGCAAGCAGCUUGUGAUGAAGCAUUUUCUCUCGCCGUACGAAUGGCAACGUUGGAGCUUACUGACCUGGAAAAAUUAGCCGUGGAGGCGCUUUCCAAGGCAAAGAAGAGAUUCAAAGAUUCUCGCAGAAAAGCAACAGAGGCCUUUAAAAAUGAAGCUCUAGGAACGUCCGACCGAAUUCUAGCGAUGCAAUAUCGAGUUAUGGCGACAAUACUGGAGACAGUAGACAAUCCCGAGCAUGCAUUAGCACCAUGUAGAGUGUGCCUUAAAGAACUGAACUCUUUGUCAGCAGUUCAGAAAAAUUUUGAUGCUCAGCUCAAGAAAGGCCUUAAGGCAGCAAUGAGUUUGGUUGGUAAAGAUGAACGCAGGAAGAUCAUUUCCAGUGUCUGUCACGUGAAUCGUUUCAUCUACGAUGUCACGCAAACAGUCGGGAAAGACGUAUCUUUCUGGAUCUGGCCUGCUGUUGAUAUCGGAGAAGACAAAGUGGAUCCAUUGCGUGACGGACGAGUAGCUAAAGUUCUGUGUAUACAGGGUAUGAAACACUGUUUAGUUACACCAUGGUCAUUUGGUCAGGAAGGUGAAGAGGAGCACAAGCUAAAGAACCCGACUGGAAUCGCUACAAAUUCCAGGGGCCAAUUCAUUGUUGGAGAGUAUGAAAACGACGUAAAGAUGUUUGAUCCUAGUGGUCAGUUCAUACAACAUUUCAGCGUCCCUAAUGAUGACUUUGAAACAGAGUUUUAUAUUCUUGAUGUAGCCACAGACAACCAGGACAACAUCUAUGUACUGGUCAGAUACGAGAAGGAGACUGGAUCUAAGGGAUUGGUUGUUUAUGAAUUUAGCAACACCGCUGGCCUGUAUCACAAGUUUCCUGUGAGGGGAGAGGACUGGGACAGAUCCUGGCACAGCAGACUGACAGUCACCAAAGGUCAAGUACUGGUACUGAGAAGGUCUAGUGUAGCUGUGUAUGAUUCUGAUGGAUUGUUUGUUCGUUCGUUCGGAGAAGGAACAUUGAAGUAUGCGAGUGAUAUCACUGCUGCUAAUAAUGGCCCUGUUAUGGUAGUGGAGUCGUUUCCUCCUUGUGUUGACAUAUUCAGUGAAGACGGUGUCCAUUUGAAGCAGUUUAAACUCCAAGGACGUUAUUGGUCUCGAAUUGCAUUUCACCGGAGUGAACAUGUCGUCAUCGCUGGUAUGGAAGGAGUGCCAGACGACCCUGGUCCCCUGCAUGUGGAAAUAUUUACCAAAGAUUGUGACUUUGUGCGCAGCACUCAAAUCCAUGAAGAACAAAUUCGCUUCAUUGGUGGAAUGACAGUGACCAUGAAUGGACGAAUUGCUGUGAUUCUGGAAGAUAUCGAUCGCAAAUGCAAGGGCAUUGCAUCUACUUAUUUAAUUGCCCCUAACCUGGAGAAUUUGCCAAUUUUUUUCCAAAAAUGUAAGUACCAAUACUGAAAUUGAUUGAUGCAUACAUGUAAGAAGAGUUAUGUUAUAACACAAUUACACCAGUAUGAUUUAUUUUAAAUACUGUGCAAUUUAAUGUACACCUAACCCCGAAAAUGGCUAUUUGCUUAGAUGAAACUACUUGUGUCAAUCAAAGCAUUUCUGGGAAAAAGGUAUUGCAUUUGGUUGAAUCCUGGAUUUGCUAUGCCCUUUGGAAGUCGUGUUUGAAUUGUUACAUGACUGUGUGUAGGGAGUCUGGGGUGGGGGAUGCUAAUGACCUAUAUCCAGAAAACAAACACAAUAGCACCUCAGUCAAUCCUCUGACUAUUUGCUUAGGACAAUGGAAAACAACCUGAGCCUUCCAAUAUAUUUAGGGACUAAACGUCCAAAGUUUGUUGCAAAAAAUGUUUUUUCGUCACUGAAGUCAGGGUUAUGUUUUGAUUAGGAAGACUCUUAACUUUCAUCAAUCAUUACAAGCUUCUUUUAUAGCAAUUUAAAAAGCUUUGAGAGCUAUUUGCUUCAAGCGUCGACGGGGAAGACUUCCUUGUGGACUUAAGCUACGUAUCAGGAGUGGAGAGCUGGAUGUGAGACCUGUACUUUUUAAGCAGCAUGAAGCAACUUGGGGCUAGGUGCACUUUAAACUAUUGCUAAACUGUAAGUACUUUCCUAGAUUGUUUUUAAUAAUACCUUUUGUAGACACUCUUAUGAUUCUUACAUUUACCAUAAACAAAUUAACAAUCAGCCUGUCA